This 211-nucleotide ribosomal RNA is filed under the name Lactarius rufus. RNAcentral describes it as "partial 28S ribosomal RNA". The stretch from base 50 to 211 matches the Rfam family "Eukaryotic large subunit ribosomal RNA", at positions 1 to 160 of the family's 3401-position model. The record is from RNAcentral. Lineage: Eukaryota; Fungi; Basidiomycota; Agaricomycetes; Russulales; Russulaceae.
UUCGAGCAUGUCUCCCUUCUCGGGAAGCUCCCUCGACCCCACGAACCCUUGACCUCAAAUCGGGUGAGACUACCCGCUGAACUUAAGCAUAUCAAUAAGCGGAGGAAAAGAAACUAACAAGGAUUCCCCUAGUAACUGCGAGUGAAGCGGGAAAAGCUCAAAUUUAAAAUCUGGCGGUCUUUGGCCGUCCGAGUUGUAAUUUAGAGAAGCG